CCGCACGCGCGAACUGUGUCGCAAAAGGCCAACUCCGGAGUGCCGGCUUGUAGGGAGCGACCCUCACAAGCAUGUGCGAAUGAGCACAAAUGGCAAGCAAGCAAAGUCAUCGUCUCAACGAUCCGGUCAUCAUGGCUCUACCAUGGAAAUGAUCGCUAGCAACUCAUAGGUCUAGUCCAAUGUCCCAAGUGAAGGUUUAACCGUUCAAUAAUUCCAAUGCCCUUUCGUGACCUUAGAUUUACUAAGUCCAUACAUAUUCCAAGCCUAAUGCCUCUUUAUGACAUUAGCUUACUAUUAACAUACGUGUCCCGAGCUCAAUGCCGCUUUAUGGCAUUAGCUCAUACAUGCAUACACUCUAGCCUAUGUCACUUAAUGACAAAAUGUCCAACAACGCCAAGCAUGCGUUCUAAGUCCAAGAGUGUAACCUACAUGUCAUAUGCACUAUAUGCAACAUGAUCUCAAUCACAUGUAAGAAUGCUAACCAUAUGCAAGGUUCCAAUCCUGAAUAGUUCUCUACUACAUAGAGGUCCAAUGUACUUUAUACAUAACAUGUACAUAUUAAGCAUUCUAAAAUUCUCAAAUAUUCUAUCUAGUAAGAAUAUACAUGCAUUUCCAGUAUACGAAAAGUAAAAACCAAUAAGGGAUGAUUUAUCCCAUUUUUUGGUGAGGCCAAACCCAUCACAACUCUUGCGCUCCU
Molecule: long non-coding RNA, 697 nt
Filed under: Ananas comosus (pineapple)
Lineage: Eukaryota; Viridiplantae; Streptophyta; Magnoliopsida; Poales; Bromeliaceae
Description: long non-coding RNA (ACOM_LNC008987)
Source: RNAcentral